GCGCAGCUUUGGCAGCACAUAUACUAAAAUUAGAAUGAAACAGAGAUUAGCACUGCUCCUGCACAAAGAUGACACGCAAAUUGAUGAAGCUUUCCAUACUUUU
Molecule: small nuclear RNA, 103 nt
Filed under: Rhinopithecus roxellana (golden snub-nosed monkey)
Lineage: Eukaryota; Metazoa; Chordata; Mammalia; Primates; Cercopithecidae
Source: RNAcentral